RNAcentral lists this ribosomal RNA (253 nucleotides) under uncultured bacterium. RNAcentral's name for it is "partial 16S ribosomal RNA". It matches the Rfam family "Bacterial small subunit ribosomal RNA", at positions 524 to 776 of the family's 1533-position model. The record is from RNAcentral.
UACGUAGGGUGCAAGCGUUGUCCGGAAUUAUUGGGCGUAAAGAGCUCGUAGGCGGUUUGUCGCGUCUGCUGUGAAAACUCGGGGCUUAACUCCGGGCCUGCAGUGGGUACGGGCAGACUAGAGUGCGGUAGGGGAGACUGGAAUUCCUGGUGUAGCGGUGAAAUGCGCAGAUAUCAGGAGGAACACCGAUGGCGAAGGCAGCUCGCUGGGACGGUACUGACGCUGAGACGCGAAAGCGUGGGGAGCAAACAGG